UACGUAGGGGGCGAGCGUUGUCCGGAUUCAUUGGGCGUAAAGAGCUCGUAGGCGGCUUGGUUAGUUGGGUGUGAAACCUCCAGGCUUAACCUGGAGACGCCACUCAAUACUGCCAUGGCUAGAGUCCGGUAGGGGACCACGGAAUUCCUGGUGUAGCGGUGAAAUGCGCAGAUAUCAGGAGGAACACCGGUGGCGAAGGCGGUGGUCUGGGCCGGCACUGACGCUGAGGAGCGAAAGCGUGGGGAGCGAACAGG
Molecule: ribosomal RNA, 254 nt
Filed under: uncultured bacterium
Lineage: Bacteria
Also listed under: 2 other names
Description: partial 16S ribosomal RNA
Rfam family: Bacterial small subunit ribosomal RNA
Source: RNAcentral